AUGAAUCAAAAUGCUAGCCCUGGACCUGAUGGCUUUGGACAUGGUUUCUAUCGGAAAUUCUGGCCCAUCGUCAAAGGCAAGAUAAAAGACUUCUUCUUCGACUUCCACUCUCUUCAAACUGACAUUUCCUGCCUCAACAGAGCUCAUAUUAUUCUCCUCCCUAAGCACAACGAAGCCCGCUCCCCCGCUGACUUCCGACCUAUUUCCCUCCAAAACUGCCCGGUAAAAGGGGUGGCCAAGUUGCUGACUAAUAGGCUAAAACCCCUCAUCCCUCUCCUCGUCCAUGCUGAUCAAACUGGCUUCCUCGCCGGGCGAAACAUCUCGGAAAACUUUCUUUACGCAGCAGACAUCCUUCACUGUUAUGCUAAAAGAAAAGCUCCUACUCCCGUUGUUAAACUAGACUUCCAGAAGGCCUUUGACUCGGUCUGCUGGACAUCCCUCCUCCAUACCAUGCGGACUCGCGGUUUCCUCGACCGCUAGUGUGAAUGGGUCAGCUCCCUCCUCUCCACUGGACUCACGACAGUCAUGCUAAAUGGUGUGCCGGGCCGUUGGAUCCAAUGCAAAAAUGGACUCUGUCAAGGUGACCCCCUCUCUCCUUACCUCUUCAUCAUCUUGGAUGACAUCCUUCAGCAGAUGAUCAUCAAGGCCAAUAUUGACGGUCUCCUUCUCCACCCCUUAUCCCCCACCUCCCUUGCCCUGUUCUCCAAUACGCGGACGACACACUUAUUAUUGUGA
Molecule: ribosomal RNA, 735 nt
Filed under: Triticum aestivum (bread wheat)
Lineage: Eukaryota; Viridiplantae; Streptophyta; Magnoliopsida; Poales; Poaceae
Description: partial small subunit ribosomal RNA
Source: RNAcentral